UACGAAGGGGACUAGCGUUGUUCGGAUUUACUGGGCGUAAAGCGCGCGUAGGCGGAUCGCUAAGUCAGGGGUGAAAUCCCAGGGCUCAACCCUGGAACUGCCUUUGAUACUGACGAUCUGGAGAUCGGGAGAGGUUGGUGGAAUUUCGAGUGUAGAGGUGAAAUUCGUAGAUAUUCGGAGGAACACCAGAAGCGAAGGCGGCCAACUGGCCCGAUACUGACGCUGAGGCGCGAAAGCGUGGGGAGCAAACGGG
RNAcentral lists this ribosomal RNA (253 nucleotides) under uncultured bacterium. RNAcentral's name for it is "partial 16S ribosomal RNA". It matches the Rfam family "Bacterial small subunit ribosomal RNA", at positions 524 to 776 of the family's 1533-position model. The record is from RNAcentral.